RNAcentral lists this ribosomal RNA (438 nucleotides) under uncultured bacterium. Its description in RNAcentral is "bacterial SSU rRNA". It matches the Rfam family "Bacterial small subunit ribosomal RNA", at positions 340 to 773 of the family's 1533-position model. The record is from RNAcentral.
UACGGGAGGCAGCAGUGGGGAAUAUUGCACAAUGGGCGCAAGCCUGAUGCAGCCAUGCCGCGUGUAUGAAGAAGGCCUUCGGGUUGUAAAGUACUUUCAGUCGUGAGGAAGGUGUUAAGGUUAAUAACCUUAGCAAUUGACGUUAGCGACAGAAGAAGCACCGGCUAACUCCGUGCCAGCAGCCGCGGUAAUACGGAGGGUGCGAGCGUUAAUCGGAAUUACUGGGCGUAAAGGGCACGCAGGCGGUUAAUAAGUUGGAUGUGAAAUCCCCGGGCUUAACCUGGGAAUGGCAUUCAAGACUGGUUAGCUAGAGUCUUGUAGAGGGGGUAGAAUUCCAUGUGUAGCGGUGAAAUGCGUAGAGAUGUGGAGGAAUACCGGUGGCGAAGGCGGCCCCUGGACAAAGACUGACGCUCAUGUGCGAAAGCGUGGGGAGCAAAC